This 263-nucleotide unclassified non-coding RNA is filed under the name Bombus terrestris (buff-tailed bumblebee). RNAcentral's name for it is "misc RNA ENSBTSG00005029433.1". The record is from RNAcentral. Lineage: Eukaryota; Metazoa; Arthropoda; Insecta; Hymenoptera; Apidae.
CAGGAAGCUUCUCACAGGCUCUGCUCAAGCUUUCGCACGCCAAGAAGGAUGCACGAAUCCUGGGCGAAGUUUAAAAAGGCGUUGGUAGAUGAAUUCCCAGACAUAGUGAGUGACCGGGAGGUACAUCAAGAAUUAGGACAUAGAACGAAAAGAACAGACGAGAGUCUGCUUCAGCAUAUGUAUAAUAUGCGUGAGAUUGCGGGACAAGGAAGAGUCGAUACACAGUCGGUAAUCUAUAUUAUCUGGACUAUAUUAUCCAGGGU